This 468-nucleotide ribosomal RNA is filed under the name uncultured bacterium. RNAcentral describes it as "partial 16S ribosomal RNA". It matches the Rfam family "Bacterial small subunit ribosomal RNA", at positions 28 to 507 of the family's 1533-position model. The record is from RNAcentral.
GACGAACGCUGGCGGCGUGCUUAACACAUGCAAGUCGAACGGGAAGGCCCUGCUUUUGUGGGGUGCUCGAGUGGCGAACGGGUGAGUAACACGUGAGUAACCUGCCCUUGACUUUGGGAUAACUUCAGGAAACUGGGGCUAAUACCGGAUAGGAGCUCCUGCUGCAUGGUGGGGGUUGGAAAGUUUCGGCGGUUGGGGAUGGACUCGCGGCUUAUCAGCUUGUUGGUGGGGUAGUGGCUUACCAAGGCUUUGACGGGUAGCCGGCCUGAGAGGGUGACCGGCCAAAUUGGGAGUGAGAGACGGACCAGACUAGAACGGGAGGCAGCAGUGGGGAAUAUUGAAAAAUGGGCGGAAGCCUGAUGCAGCAAAGCCGCGUGCGGGAUGACGGCCUUCGGGUUGUAAACCGAUUUCGCCUGUGACGAAGCGUGAGUGACGGUAAUGGGUAAAGAAGCACCGGCUAACUACGUG